RNAcentral lists this ribosomal RNA (253 nucleotides) under uncultured bacterium. RNAcentral describes it as "partial 16S ribosomal RNA". It matches the Rfam family "Bacterial small subunit ribosomal RNA", at positions 524 to 776 of the family's 1533-position model. The record is from RNAcentral.
UACGUAGGGGGCGAGCGUUGUCCGGAAUUAUUGGGCGUAAAGAGCUCGUAGGCGGUCUGUCGCGUCUGCUGUGAAAAUCCAGGGCUCAACCCUGGACCUGCAGUGGGUACGGGCAGACUAGAGUGCGGUAGGGGAGAUCGGAAUUCCUGGUGUAGCGGUGAAAUGCGCAGAUAUCAGGAGGAACACCGGUGGCGAAGGCGGAUCUCUGGGCCGUAACUGACGCUGAGGAGCGAAAGCAUGGGGAGCGAACAGG